RNAcentral lists this ribosomal RNA (258 nucleotides) under uncultured bacterium. Its description in RNAcentral is "partial 16S ribosomal RNA". It matches the Rfam family "Bacterial small subunit ribosomal RNA", at positions 96 to 354 of the family's 1533-position model. The record is from RNAcentral.
CGGCGGACGGGUGAGUAACACGUGGGUAAUCUGCCUUAUACAGGGGGAUAACAGUUAGAAAUGACUGCUAAUACCGCAUAAGCGCACGGGGACGCAUGUUUCUGUGUGAAAAACUCCGGUAGUAUAAGAUGAGCCCGCGUCUGAUUAGCUGGUUGGUGGGGUAACGGCCUACCAAGGCGACGAUCAGUAGCCGGCCUGAGAGGGUGAACGGCCACAUUGGGACUGAGACACGGCCCAAACUCCUACGGGAGGCAGCAG